Molecule: ribosomal RNA, 496 nt
Filed under: uncultured bacterium
Lineage: Bacteria
Description: partial 16S ribosomal RNA
Rfam family: Bacterial small subunit ribosomal RNA
Source: RNAcentral
AUGCACGCUGGCGGCGUGCCUAAUACAUGCAAGUCGAGCGAACAGAUAAGGAGCUUGCUCCUUUGACGUUAGCGGCGGACGGGUGAGUAACACGUGGGUAACCUACCUAUAAGACUGGGAUAACUUCGGGAAACCGGAGCUAAUACCGGAUAACAUUUGGAACCGCAUGGUUCUAAAGUGAAAGAUGGUUUUGCUAUCACUUAUAGAUGGACCCGCGCCGUAUUAGCUAGUUGGUAAGGUAACGGCUUACCAAGGCGACGAUACGUAGCCGACCUGAGAGGGUGAUCGGCCACACUGGAACUGAGACACGGUCCAGACUCCUACGGGAGGCAGCAGUAGGGAAUCUUCCGCAAUGGGCGAAAGCCUGACGGAGCAACGCCGCGUGAGUGAUGAAGGGUUUCGGCUCGUAAAACUCUGUUAUUAGGGAAGAACAAACGUGUAAGUAACUGUGCACGUCUUGACGGUACCUAAUCAGAAAGCCACGGCUAACUACGUG